Molecule: ribosomal RNA, 442 nt
Filed under: uncultured bacterium
Lineage: Bacteria
Description: partial 16S ribosomal RNA
Rfam family: Bacterial small subunit ribosomal RNA
Source: RNAcentral
CCUACGGUUGGCAGCAGUGGGGGAUAUUGCACAAUGGGGGAAACCCUGAUGCAGCGACGCCGCGUGGGCGAAGAAGUAUCUCGGCAUGUAAAGCCCUAUCAGCCGGGAAGAAGAAAUGACGGCACGUGAGUAACAAGCACCGGCUAAAUACGUGCCAGCAGCCGCGGUCAUACGCAGGGUGCAAGCGAUAUCCGGAUUUACUGGGUGUAAAGGGAGCGCAGGCGGCACGGUAAGCCGGAUGGGAAAGGCCGGGGCCCAAACGCGGGACUGCGUUGGGAACUGGCGGGCUGGAGUGCCGGAGAGGUAGGCGGAAUGCCUGGUGUAGCGGUGAAAUGCGUAGAUAUUAGGAAGAACACCGGUGGCGAAGGCGGCCUACUGGACGGUGACUGACGCUGAGGCUCGAAAGCGUGGGGAGCAAACAGGAUUAGAUACCCUGGUAGUC